RNAcentral lists this long non-coding RNA (1445 nucleotides) under Oryza sativa (Asian cultivated rice). RNAcentral's name for it is "long non-coding RNA (OSAT_LNC000358)". The stretch from base 476 to 657 matches the Rfam family "MIR408 microRNA precursor family". The record is from RNAcentral. Lineage: Eukaryota; Viridiplantae; Streptophyta; Magnoliopsida; Poales; Poaceae.
CAAUAUUCUCUUAAAAUAGCUCAAAAUUCCGUAGAAAUUCGUCUCGAUGAGAUGUACGACAUGUCCUGUUGCUGCCGUACGUACUACUAGUACUAAUCUAAGCGGCUGAGCAGCGCCGGUCGAAGAAGGAAGAGUGUUUCAGCUCGGCGAGCAUUUGCUGCUGGGUGUGUGCAGUACGCAUGUUGGAGAGGGAGUUGUACUACCAAACCUUGGGACAGGUCAGCAUCGUGUACUCCAGCUUUGCUCUCCCCUUGUACUGAUGGAUGGGCAAAUUGGCAGGCUAUGAGAUGUGGUACUAGCUAGUACUACUGUACUAGCAGUGGAAUGGUUCAAGGCAAAGACAUUGCGUUGCGUGUGUAUAUAUACAUCUCCCAUGUUUCUUGAAUCUUGACGAUGAUGGCGUUGGCCUAACCGGAUUUGCAGUGCAUCAGGUAAGGGAAAAAGGAUGGUUAGAUAGAGAGAAGGGGAGUUCUGUGAUUGGAGAGGAGAGGAGACAGGGAUGAGGCAGAGCAUGGGAUGGGGCUAUCAACAGAUGUAGAUUAUUCCUUGCACAAGAGAUGAUGAUGAGCUGUGAAUGAGUUCUGAGAGAUGGCUGGUGUUGUUGUUGCUCCCUCCCCUGCACUGCCUCUUCCCUGGCUCCCCUGCACACCUCUCUCUCUCUCUCUCUCUCUCUGUGUGUUAGUAUAUUGUUUUUAUGUUUUAGUAAUUAUUUUCCUUCCAUAAGUGAUACGGUAUUUGUAGCAUGUAGGUAGAAAAAAAAAUGAAACUAGAGUGAUGUGACACUUCAAGGGCUGUUGCAAAUUAACACAUUUUAAAAUGGACCAAGCGUACUAUUUCUCAGCAUGUGGUUCUAGCUCAAAACAUGCAUUUCAUUCGGCAUGCCAUGCUAGUUUUAAGCUCAGUAUAGCAUUUCAAUAAUUUAUUUGACAUACUAAAUCUAGCUCAAAACUGCAUUUCAUACGGUAUGUCAUCCACGUUUCUAGCUAAAAAUAGCAUUUCAUUUGGCAUUGCUAUGCUAGUUUCUAGCUCAAAAUAGCAUUCUAAUUUACAUGCAUUGAUAAUUCCUAGUUCAAAAUAGUAAUUUAAGGGAUCUUUUUCCACUUGAACCCGGAGCUGUUUUAGUGCAGGGGAGGAGGAAACUGCGCGGUCUGAUGGAGAUUGGGCAAGAUUGGGACGGAAGGAAGCAGAACAAAGCGAAAAAUUCAAGAUAUGCUUUGCGAUUUGCCAAUUGCAAUAGUUUGCAAUAGAAUCUCCGUAGUAUAAUUUUUGGCAUGUCCUGCUGUAACUGCCGGAAAGAACAAAAGAAAAGCUCAAUCUUGGUUUUCAGACCAUGCAAUGCAAUGAUGAACCGUUUGUUACUACUCCAUCAUGACAUCCAAAAGUUCACUCAUUUUCUGCUGUUGAGAUCAUGUGUCUUCAACUAGGGCCCUGUUUUUAGAUUCCAA